Molecule: ribosomal RNA, 2017 nt
Filed under: insect metagenome
Description: bacterial LSU rRNA
Rfam family: Bacterial large subunit ribosomal RNA
Source: RNAcentral
GGCUUACCAACCCAAUGCAAACUGCGAAUACCGAAGAAUGUUAUCACGGGAGACACACGGCGGGUGCUAACGUCCGUCGUGAAGAGGGAAACAACCCAGACCGCCAGCUAAGGUCCCAAAGUCAUGGUUAAGUGGGAAACGAUGUGGGAAGGCAUAGACAGCCAGGAUGUUGGCUUAGAAGCAGCCAUCAUUUGAAGAAAGCGUAAUAGCUCACUGGUCGAGUCGGCCUGCGCGGAAGAUGUAACGGGGCUAAACCAUGCACCGAAGCUGCGGCAGCGGCGCGCAAGCGUUGUUGGGUAGGGGAGCGUUCUGUAAGCCGUCGAAGGUGAGCUGUGAGGCUUGCUGGAGGUAUCAGAAGUGCGAAUGCUGACAUAAGUAACGAUAAAGCGGGUGAAAAGCCUGCUCGCCGGAAGACCAAGGGUUCCUGUCCAACGUUAAUCGGGGCAGGGUGAGUCGACCCCUAAGGCGAGGCCGAAAGGCGUAGUCGAUGGGAAACGGGUUAAUAUUCCCGUACUCGGUGUUACUGCGAAGGGGGGACGGAGAAGGCUAUGUUAGCCGGGCGACGGUUGUCCCGGUUUAAGCAUGUAGGCGGAGAGUUUAGGUAAAUCCGGACUCUUAUCAACGCUGAGGUGUGAUGACGAGGCAUUACGGUGCUGAAGUAACAAAUGCCCUGCUUCCAGGAAAAGCCUCUAAGCAUCAGGUAACAUCGAAUCGUACCCCAAACCGACACAGGUGGUCAGGUAGAGAAUACCAAGGCGCUUGAGAGAACUCGGGUGAAGGAACUAGGCAAAAUGGUGCCGUAACUUCGGGAGAAGGCACGCUGUCGAUAGGUGAAACCCCUCGCGGGUGGGAGCUGAAGGCAGUCGAAGAUACCAGCUGGCUGCAACUGUUUAUUAAAAACACAGCACUGUGCAAACACGAAAGUGGACGUAUACGGUGUGACGCCUGCCCGGUGCCGGAAGGUUAAUUGAUGGGGUUAUCCGCAAGGAGAAGCUCUUGAUCGAAGCCCCGGUAAACGGCGGCCGUAACUAUAACGGUCCUAAGGUAGCGAAAUUCCUUGUCGGGUAAGUUCCGACCUGCACGAAUGGCGUAAUGAUGGCUAGGCUGUCUCCACCCGAGACUCAGUGAAAUUGAACUCGCUGUGAAGAUGCAGCGUACCCGCGGCAAGACGGAAAGACCCCGUGAACCUUUACUACAGCUUGACACUGAACAUUGAGCCUUGAUGUGUAGGAUAGGUGGGAGGCUUUGAAGCGUGGACGCCAGUCUGCGUGGAGCCAACCUUGAAAUACCACCCUUUAACGUUUGAUGUUCUAACCUAGCGCCGUAAUCCGGCGCGGGGACAGUGUCUGGUGGGUAGUUUGACUGGGGCGGUCUCCUCCUAAAGAGUAACGGAGGAGCACGAAGGUUAGCUAAUCACGGUCGGACAUCGUGAGGUUAGUGCAAUGGCAUAAGCUAGCUUGACUGCGAGAGUGACGGCUCAAGCAGGUGCGAAAGCAGGUCAUAGUGAUCCGGUGGUUCUGAAUGGAAGGGCCAUCGCUCAACGGAUAAAAGGUACUCCGGGGAUAACAGGCUGAUACCGCCCAAGAGUUCAUAUCGACGGCGGUGUUUGGCACCUCGAUGUCGGCUCAUCACAUCCUGGGGCUGAAGUGGGUCCCAAGGGUACGGCUGUUCGCCGUUUAAAGUGGUACGCGAGCUGGGUUUAGAACGUCGUGAGACAGUUCGGUCCCUAUCUGCCGUGGGCGCUGGAGAAUUGAGAGGGGUUGCUCCUAGUACGAGAGGACCGGAGUGAACGCACCACUGGUAUUCGGGUUGUCAUGCCAAUGGCACUGCCCGGUAGCUAAGUGCGGAAAAGAUAAGCGCUGAAAGCAUCUAAGCGCGAAACUUGCCUCGAGAUGAAUUCUCCCUAGGUCCUUGAGACCUCUGAAGGGACGUUGAAGACUACGACGUUGAUAGGCCGGGUGUGUAAGCGCAGCGAUGCGUUGAGCUAACCGGUACUAAUGACCCGUGAGGCUUAAUC